Molecule: RNA transcript, 2909 nt
Organism: Pan troglodytes (chimpanzee)
Lineage: Eukaryota; Metazoa; Chordata; Mammalia; Primates; Hominidae
Gene: HROB
Gene name: homologous recombination factor with OB-fold
Exons: 10
Source: RefSeq, a predicted model, not a curated record
AAGACCAGGGCGGAAGACUACAGUGAGAAGACCCUUUGUGUCGGCGGGAAAGAAAUAUGCCUGCCCCUUUAAGAAGGCGGAGACGCCCCAGUGGCGGCGUCUUCGAAUGCGGCCUAAGGCGCCUGCCGCCAGUCUCCCGGCGACUUUCCCUAUAUCGCGGAGACUCUUCCCUCUGACCCCAGCCCGGAAGCACUGUCCCUCGGAGUCCGAGACUUCCACCUGGGUCGUGUCCAAGGCCCCGGCGACUCCCCGGACUCGGGGUGCCGGGCCAACCUCCCCGCCGAGGCCCACCCGCCGUCGCUAUGGCGUGCAGUUUGCAGAAGCUGUUUGCUGUGGAAGAGGAGUUUGAAGAUGAGGAUUUCUUGUCUGCUGUGGAGGAUGCAGAGAACCGGUUUACUGGCUCACUGCCUGUGAAUGCUGGGCGCCUGAGACCUGUCUCUUCUAGGCCACAGGAGACUGUGCAGGCACAGUCCUCCAGGCUGCUGCUGUUACACCCCACUGCUCCCUCAGAGGCUUUGGGCCUGCCAGACUUGGACCUCUGCCUCCCUGCCUCCAGCACGCCCAGUGCCGACAGCCGUCCAUCAUGCAUAGGAGCAGCUCCCCUAAGGCCUGUCUCUACUUCCAGCAGCUGGAUUGGCAAUCAGAGAAGAGUGACAGUGACAGAAGUGCUCAGAGAGCCAGCAAGACCUCAGUCCUCAGCCUUAUACCCCCUACUCACCUUUGAGAGCCAACAGCAGCAAGUUGGUGGCUUUGAGGGGCCUGAACAAGACGAAUUUGAUAAAGUCCUGGCAAGCAUGGAGUUGGAGGAGCCUGGCAUGGAGCUGGAAUGUGGAGUCAGCAGUGAGGCCAUACCAAUCCUGCCUGCCCAGCAGCAGGAGGGUUCAGUAUUGGCUAAAAAAGCCCGGGUAGUUGAUCUGAGUGGAUCUUGCCAGAAGGGGCCUGUGCCUGCCACCCACAAAGCGGGUAUCAUGUCCGCCCAGGAUGAGUCUCUAGAUCCUGUCAUCCAAUGUAGGACUCCACGACCCCCCUUGAGACCUGGUGCUGUGGGUCACCUUCCUGUUCCAACUGCCUUAACAGUUCCCACUCAGCAACCCCACUGGGAAGUCUGUCCACAACGCUCCCCUGUUCAAGCACUUCAGCCUCUCCAAGCUGCUAGAGGGACCAUUCAGAGCAGCCUUCAAAAUCGUUUCCCUUGUCAGCCAUUCCAGUCUCCAAGUUCCUGGUUAAGUGGCAAAGCUCAUUUACCCAGACCUCGAACUCCCAACUCAAGCUGUUCUACUCCCUCAAGGACUAGCUCUGGAUUAUUUCCUCGGAUACCCUUACAACCCCAAGCUCCAGUGUCUUCCAUUGGGUCUCCUGUUGGUACCCCAAAAGGUCCCCAUUCCUCCCUGGGUCCCCAGGGAGCUCUGCAGACACCCAUAGUCACCAACCACCUGGUGCAGCUAGUCACUGCUGCCAGCCGGACACCCCAGCAGCCCACCCAUCCCUCCACCCGAGCCAAAACUCGCCGUUUCCCCGGCCCAGCUGGGAUCCUGCCUCACCAGCAGAGUGGGAGAAGUCUGGAGGAUAUCAUGGUUUCCGCGCCCCAAACUCCGACCCAUGGUGCUCUGGCUAAAUUCCAGACAGAGAUUGUUGCUAGUUCCCAGGCAUCUGUGGAGGAGGAUUUUGGGCGAGGGCCCUGGCUGACCAUGAAAUCCGCGCUAGGCCUGGAUGAGAGAGACCCUAGCUGCUUCCUCUGUACCUACAGCAUUGUCAUGGUGCUGCGCAAGGCAGCCCUGAAGCAGCUUCCUAGGAACAAGGUCCCCAACAUGGCGGUGAUGAUCAAGUCCCUGACUCGGAGCACAAUGGACGCCAGUGUGGUUUUCAAGGACCCCACGGACAGGAAAACUGAGGCAGUGAGCAGCCCACUUCCCAGCCAGGGCCCAUACCAGUCGCUGUGCUGCCCUUGACCCCGAGACUGAUGGGCCAUGUGGUAUUUGCAGGAGAGAUGCAGGGGACGGUGCACAGGUUGCUGCUGGAGACGCGCCAGAAUGAGCUGAAGCCUGGCUCAGUGCUGCUGCUGAAGCAGAUUGGAGUGUUUUCUCCUUCACUUCGAAAUCACUACCUCAACGUGACACCCAACAACCUGGUCCAUAUUUACAGCCCGGAUUCUGGGGAUGGGAGCUUCCUCAAGCCAUCUCAGCCCUUCCCCAAGGAUUCAGGGAGCUUCCAGCAUGAUGUGGCUGCAAAGCCCGAGGAAGGCUUCAGAACAGCACAGAACCUGGAGGCAGAGGCGUCCCCUGAGGAAGAACUCCCAGAAGCAGAUGACCUGGAUGGACUCCUGAGUGAGCUUCCUGAAGACUUCUUCUGUGGGACCAGUAGCUGAGACUGCCCCAACGCAGGACAACCCACCAUGAGCAGGCAGCUCUGGGCAUGUGUCUGGUCACAUCCAAGGGGGAGAAGAAGGCCAGCAUGAUUGGAGAGUGGACACAGCGGGGGGGCUUCUGUGGUUGCUCCCACCCUGGGUGUUUUCCCUGAGAGCCCCCUCAUCUCUGCGCUGCCCUCACUUUGGGCCUUUCUUUGCCGUUGGCACCAGGAUCCGGCCGGAGACUGGCUCUCCAGCCAACAAGAAAGGCCUGUCACCCUCGCCUUGGGUGUCCCUCUCCUGCCUCAGCUUAAUUUUAGAGGAUAUUGGGCCUGGUUUUCUUGUCCCUUCAUACCCUAGUCCCUGGACAGCUGAGGAGAUGAAAGGAGCCACACCACAACAAUGGCGGCCUGCCCCUCCACACAGGGGAGAAGCACGCUCAGGCUUCCUCUGCUUUGUCUCUUCAGACCUGUGGUUGCUCUGCUCAUCCAUGCCCAAGGUUCCCAGGUGCAGGACAGAGGUGUGGCCUAUUGUACCUUGUUCUGAAAUAAAGCAGCUCCUGCUU